ACGAACGCUGGCGGCGUGCUUAACACAUGCAAGUCGAACGGAAAGGCCCUGCUUUUGUGGGGUGCUCGAGUGGCGAACGGGUGAGUAACACGUGAGUAACCUGCCCUUGACUUUGGGAUAACUUCAGGAAACUGGGGCUAAUACCGGAUAGGAGCUCCUGCUGCAUGGUGGGGGUUGGAAAGUUUCGGCGGUUGGGGAUGGACUCGCGGCUUAUCGGCUUGUUGGUGGGGUAGUGGCUUACCAAGGCUUUGACGGGUAGCCGGCCUGAGAGGGUGACCGGCCACAUUGGGACUGAGAUACGGCCCAGACUCCUACGGGAGGCAGCAGUGGGGAAUAUUGCACAAUGGGCGGAAGCCUGAUGCAGCAACGCCGCGUGCGGGAUGACGGCCUUCGGGUUGUAAACCGCUUUCGCCUGUGACGAAGCGUGAGUGACGGUAAUGGGUAAAGAAGCACCGGCUAACUACGU
RNAcentral lists this ribosomal RNA (466 nucleotides) under uncultured bacterium. RNAcentral's name for it is "partial 16S ribosomal RNA". It matches the Rfam family "Bacterial small subunit ribosomal RNA", at positions 29 to 506 of the family's 1533-position model. The record is from RNAcentral.